Molecule: long non-coding RNA, 207 nt
Organism: Strongylocentrotus purpuratus (purple sea urchin)
Lineage: Eukaryota; Metazoa; Echinodermata; Echinoidea; Camarodonta; Strongylocentrotidae
Exons: 3
Source: RefSeq, a predicted model, not a curated record
AGUUUCAUUCCUUGGGUAACUUCUGGAAAACAAGCUCAGGGUGGCACAUCAUCAUUUGAGGAUAAUUCAACCGGAGGACUGGGAAGGAGUGAUACAUUACAAGCAGGAGAGGAGCCCCCAGACGAUGAGUUUGCAGGCAUAUUGCAGCAGAUAGCUGACGAUCUUUACGAUGAAGCCAAGAUCGACAGCCUUGCUGGUCAGCUGGGA